AAUAGAUACCCUGGUAGUCCACGCCCUAAACGAUGUCUACUAGUUGUCGGGGGGUAACUCCUUCGGUAACGCAGCUAACGCGUGAAGUAGACCGCCUGGGGAGUACGGUCGCAAGAUUAAAACUCAAAGGAAUUGACGGGGACCCGCAUAAGCGGUGGAUGAUGUGGAUUAAUUCGAUGCAACGCGAAAAACCUUACCUACCUUGACAUGCCACUAACGAAGCAGAGAUGCAUUAGGUGCCCGAAAGGGAAAGUGGACACAGGUGCUGCAUGGCUGUCGUCAGCUCGUGUCGUGAGAUGUUGGGUUAAGUCCCGCAACGAGCGCAACCCUUGCCAAUAGUUGCUACGAAAGGGCACUCUAUUGGGACUGCCGGUGACAAACCGGAGGAAGGUGGGGAUGACGUCAAGUCCUCAUGGCCCUUAUGGGUAGGGCUUCACACGUCAUACAAUGGCUGGUACAGAGGGUUGCCAACCCGCGAGGGGGAGCCAAUCCCACAAAACCAGUCGUAGUCCGGAUUGCAGUCUGCAACUCGACUGCA
This 538-nucleotide ribosomal RNA is filed under the name uncultured bacterium. RNAcentral describes it as "bacterial SSU rRNA". It matches the Rfam family "Bacterial small subunit ribosomal RNA", at positions 777 to 1320 of the family's 1533-position model. The record is from RNAcentral.